RNAcentral lists this ribosomal RNA (495 nucleotides) under Achromobacter sp. WN-2005. RNAcentral's name for it is "bacterial SSU rRNA". It matches the Rfam family "Bacterial small subunit ribosomal RNA", at positions 199 to 675 of the family's 1533-position model. Lineage: Bacteria; Pseudomonadati; Pseudomonadota; Betaproteobacteria; Burkholderiales; Alcaligenaceae. The record is from RNAcentral.
GGGGAAAGCAGGGGAUCGCAAGACCUUGCACUAUUGGAGCGGCCGAUAUCGGAUUAGCUACCUGGUGGGGUAACGGCUCACCAAGGCGACGAUCCGUAGCUGGUUUGAGAGGACGACCAGCCACACUGGGACUGAGACACGGCCCAGACUCCUACGGGAGGCAGCAGUGGGGAAUUUUGGACAAUGGGGGAAACCCUGAUCCAGCCAUCCCGCGUGUGCGAUGAAGGCCUUCGGGUUGUAAAGCACUUUUGGCAGGAAAGAAACGUCGCGGGUUAAUACCUCGCGAAACUGACGGUACCUGCAGAAUAAGCACCGGCUAACUACGUGCCAGCAGCCGCGGUAAUACGUAGGGUGCAAGCGUUAAUCGGAAUUACUGGGCGUAAAGCGUGCGCAGGCGGUUCGGAAAGAAAGAUGUGAAAUCCCAGAGCUUAACUUUGGAACUGCAUUUUUAACUACCGGGCUAGAGUGUGUCAGAGGGAGGUGGAAUUCCGCGUG